CGCCUAACACAUGCAAGUCGAACGAGCAAGAGAGAGCUUGCUUUCUCGAGCGAGUGGCGAACGGGUGAGUAACGCGUGAGGAACCUGCCUCAAAGAGGGGGACAACAGUUGGAAACGACUGCUAAUACCGCAUAAGCCCACGGGUCGGCAUCGACCAGAGGGAAAAGGAGCAAUCCGCUUUGAGAUGGCCUCGCGUCCGAUUAGCUAGUUGGUGAGGUAACGGCCCACCAAGGCGACGAUCGGUAGCCGGACUGAGAGGUUGAACGGCCACAUUGGGACUGAGACACGGCCCAGACUCCUACGGGAGGCAGCAGUGGGGAAUAUUGCACAAUGGGGGAAACCCUGAUGCAGCGACGCCGCGUGGAGGAAGAAGGUCUUCGGAUUGUAAACUCCUGUUGUUGGGGAAGAUAAUGACGGUACCCAACAAGGAAGUGACGGCUAACUACGUGCCAGCAGCCGCGGUAAAACGUAGGUCACAAGCGUUGUCCGGAAUUACUGGGUGUAAAGGGAGCGCAGGCGGGAAGACAAGUUGGAAGUGAAAUCUAUGGGCUCAACCCAUAAACUGCUUUCAAAACUGUUUUUCUUGAGUAGUGCAGAGGUAGGCGGAAUUCCCGGUGUAGCGGUGGAAUGCGUAGAUAUCGGGAGGACACCAGUGGCGAAGCGGCCUACUGGGCACCAACU
Molecule: ribosomal RNA, 681 nt
Filed under: uncultured Lachnospiraceae bacterium
Lineage: Bacteria; Bacillati; Bacillota; Clostridia; Lachnospirales; Lachnospiraceae
Description: bacterial SSU rRNA
Rfam family: Bacterial small subunit ribosomal RNA
Source: RNAcentral